Molecule: ribosomal RNA, 378 nt
Filed under: uncultured organism
Description: partial 16S ribosomal RNA
Rfam family: Bacterial small subunit ribosomal RNA
Source: RNAcentral
GUAGGUGGCAAGCGUUGUCCGGAAUUAUUGGGCGUAAAGCGCGCGCAGGCGGUUCUUUAAGUCUGAUGUGAAAGCCCACGGCUCAACCGUGGAGGGUCAUUGGAAACUGGAGAACUUGAGUACAGAAGAGGAAAGCGGAAUUCCACGUGUAGCGGUGAAAUGCGUAGAGAUGUGGAGGAACACCAGUGGCGAAGGCGGCUUUCUGGUCUGUAACUGACGCUGAGGCGCGAAAGCGUGGGGAGCAAACAGGGAUUAGAUACCCUGGUAGUCCACGCCGUAAACGAUGAGUGCUAAGUGUUAGGGGGGGUUUUCCCGCCCCCCUUAGUGCUGCAGCUAACGCAUUAAGCACUCCGCCUGGGGAGUACGGCCGCAAGGCUG